UCCAAGCGUCUCUCUCAGGGGGUCGUAACGUUGUCGUUUCGUGUAUUAAACAAAUUUUAUUAAAUAUAACUUUAAGGGCUUUUAUUUCUAUUCAACAUCGUUAAUCUGCCGACAAAUGUCAGUGUUUUCAACUUCUAUUGAUCUACAUCAUCGUGUUUUGAGUGAUGUGGUGACCAUGGCCUUGCAAAUGUCGCCUGUUGAUGCUCAUACUGAAAAUUAUACUACAUGUUAUAAUCAGCCUGCAGUGCUGCUGCCUGAAGCUGCUGCUGGGACGAGUAGUCAUCAAGUUGAGCCCUUUCAGUGCCAACUUUUGGAGUGCUUCUCUGCUGAACAAGUGCCUCAUCGUACUGAACAGAAACCUGUGCCACCAAGUUUAAGGGAAUUCGAACAAAGGGUGACUGCUGUACGUAAGGAAGGUGCUGUAGAAGUAAUGGAUGCCCCACUGCUCGCAGAGAGUACUGAAGUGAGGUGUGGUCCAGAGGUUGAGGAUUUGAGAGGAGGAGCUGCUUCUGAAAUUCUCACCCUGCUGGAAGUUUCCCAAUCAUCUGUGAUAGACAGCUCCAAAGUCGGUUCAUCCUCGGAAGAAUCGACGCACCCUGGCACGCACGAAUCCCUUAGCAACCCACCAUCUCCCUGUCUGGUCGAUAACGUCGAGAUAGGAUCAGCGUCCGCCAUUUCUUCCUCCAGCAAUAUUCUUAACGAUGCACAAAAGGAUUCGAGCGACGCAAUGAGGCAAAGCGGAUUGGCUUGGCGACCGCAGAGCUCUAAUCAAUUGUCGAUGACAUUCUCAGGAGAGACGAAUCCUCCAAGUGCAACUUAUGCAGAUUUGUGCCCUCUAUCGACCUCUGCUCACUCCACCCUUGGCGCUUCUGCCUCUGCCGUCUCUGAUGAAGACUAUUGUGAUAGCAAGGAACCACUGAUCAUUAAGGGAAGCAGUAGCAGUAGUAGCACAUCGGCGUUCCUCCAAUAUCCCCCGAUCGGACCGGCGUCCAACCGGCAUUGGGGCAUUCCUCAAGGAGCGGGUUUGCGUGGAGGUGCAGGCGAGACCUCCUUGAAUAACGGAGGAGGCAGCUGGGGUCAUCCGCCAGCAAGUGGAGGUUGGGGAGGCGGUGGAACCAACAACGCGGCGAACCAAGUCCAAGGCCAAUGGGGAGCAGCAUCCUCCGCGGCCAACCAACGGAGCUCCGCAGCUAGUCAGGGACCAUCUGGAGCACCGCCUCCUGGAUCCUCGGGACCGCAAGGCUCGAAUCAGCAGCUACCUACCGGUGCCCAACAACAGCAGCAACCUCAAGGAGCAUGGGAUACAAGCAAAAAUGUCGUCAGCGGUAAUGUCGUCCAGCCAUCUGGAAGCUCGCCAAGCCAGGGUGUAUGGGCUGCUCAGGCUGCCAAAAACGUACCUAAUCAACCGACCAAUAUCAACCCCAAUCAAGACAUCAUGGCUACCAACCCCUUGAACUUAGCUCAAGGUGGCAAUGGGGGUGGUGGAGCCGUUGGUGGUUCUGGUCCUGCCACUCCUAGUUCUGGUAAGCCGGAUCCUUUGGCUAACUAUCGAGAUGUGAUUUAUGCCCAAGAUGGCUGGGGAGGCAAUCAAGUGAAUCAAGAUUCGCAGUGGGAUGUUCCAACAUCGCCAGAGCCCAAAGAAAUUCCACUGUGGAAGCAGACAGCAAGUAAUGGAACAGAAGUCUGGGAAGUCAAUCUGCGCAAUGGCGGCCAAGCCCCUCCGCCUAUAACCCAGACAAAGACGCCAUGGGGUAGUCAUACUCCAGCAACCAAUCUCGGAGGUACAUGGGGUGAAGACGAUGAAUCUUCAGAACCAUCCAGCAUGUGGACGGGUGUUCCUGCCAAUAAUGGACCUACUAACUGGGGAGCCAAUCCAAUGGGGGCUGCUCUGACUGCUGGACCAAUGGGGCCAGCCUCUGUCCCAACCGGUGCUGCGACCAUGGGGACCACUGGAAUCACGUCAGGCAACGGCAUGUGGGGUGGACAACAGCAACAGCAGCAGCAGCAACCGAAGAAAGAACCGGAAUGGGCUGGGCCCAGCUCAAUGCAAACUGGACCUGGAGGAUGGGGUGAAGUGCGACCACCCCAGCGCAUGGCUAUGUCCGGUAUUGGACCCUCGGUUCCCGAGAACAUGGGUAUGGCACCGACUGCACCAUCGCACUGGCCUGGGCCGCAAAACAAACCCGCGCCGCAGUGGGGUGGAAAUGUACCCUCGAAAGAAAUGAAACCAUCGGGCUGGGAUGAGCAUUCCCCUCCUGCCCAGAAACGACAAGUGCCACAAUAUGACGAUGGAACGGCCGUUUGGGGGAAUCCUUCCCAAAUUCAACAGCCAGGUGGAAAUGUCGUAUGUCGCUGGAAAGAUAUGCCCAAUCCUAACGUGGCUGGCGGACGUGGAAUGCAACAAUCUGGCCCGCCUCCCAAUCGAAUGCCACCUGGGCCGGGAAUGAAAACAGACAUGUCGUGGGGACAAACUCGGAACGGCUCUUGGGGAGAUGGUGGAGUCGGCGAUAGCAACCAGAUGAAUAACAUGUGGAUGGAUGACAAACCUGUAGGUAGUGGUGGAGGUGGUGGCUCGUGGAACGAGCCUCCCCAAACACCCACGCCAUGGGCGUCUGGUCCUAAACCCAAAACACCCACGACUCCAAGUUGGGGUGAGACUGAAGACAAUUUGUCGUGGGGCCAGCCGCAUAAGCAGAUUCCUAAGCCUUUAGCCAAAGAAAUGAUUUGGAGUAGUAAACAGUUCCGCAUCCUAUCCGAAAUGGGUUUCAAGAAGGACGACGUGGAAAAUGUCCUUCGAAAUUGCAACAUGGUUAUGGAAGAUGCAUUGGAAACGUUGCGCUCUGGUCGAGGCAUGUUUGGUGAUGACCAUGGAUCAGGUGGUUACGACCCAAUGGGACCGCACGGAGGGGCGCCUUAUCCUCCGAGCGCGCGGUUCAAUCCAGGUCAACAGAUGCCUUUUGUUCACCCUGGUAGUAGCGGUGCACCGCAUCACUUAUUAAGCAAUCCUGCCCCUAGCAUGGGGAUGAAUCCGAAUCCUGCAUACAAAAUUCUUCAGCCUCAGCAGCCGCCACCUAUGCCGCCUCAGGUCAAUCAAUCACAAAUGGUCCGUAACAUGUCGCGAGUAGACACUGGUGUAUCGUCUGGUGCAGGAGCCGGCAGUCAACCAUCACCAACUCAAUUACGAAUUCUCGUUCAGCAAAUCCAAAUGGCCGUGCAGGCAGGCCAUUUGAAUCCUCAAAUUCUCAAUCAGCCGUUGGCUCCUCAGACGCUGGUUCUGCUCAAUCAGCUGCUACAGCAGAUCAAAGUUUUACAACAGCUCGGUCAACAGCACAAUAUGGCCCUUAGUCGGCCGGGACAAGGACCUAUGGGGGGUCCAAUGUUGCAGCUAGUACCUCAGAUGAACAAAACCAAACAGCAGAUUGCUAGCUUGCAACAGCAGAUCGCCGCCCAACAAGCUCUGUAUGUCAAGCAACAAGGCCAAAUGAUGAAUCAACAGCCACCCGGCGUUCCUCCGAGUCAACCGUCGGACCUUUUCAAAGUGGAUUCGGUUCAUGGCAUUCAGUCCAACUUGGACAGGAUGAGUUUACAGGAUUCUGGACAGUCACGGCUCUCUCAAUGGAAGUACCCGCCACUCGACAAGGAUCUUUCAGAUCUCGGCAUGUCAGAAUUCAGUCGCGCCCCGGGGAGCAGUGGUGGUGCACCCGGUUCCAUUCCCAGUAACGCCAAACCGCCACUAGGUAGCAGCCUUUCGUCACCCAAUAUGAACCCUGUCCUCGGACAAGACGGUGGUGCUUGGUCGAGUCUUUCUCGUUCUCAAUCGGAGACAGGCUGGCCUGACACAAACCAGGAUUUGUCUACUGGUGGAUCUGUCGGAGGCAAUGACGGAAAGGAUAGCUGGAGCAAUGCCACCGGAUCCUCUUCUUAUUCGGGUUCCAUAUCGGAUCUCGUUCCCGAAUUCGAGCCUGGCAAACCAUGGAAAGGACCACAGAUUAAAACGGCAGACGACGAUCCAACUCUCACUCCUGGAACGUUUGCCAUGUCUGGUCUCAACGAGGCAGAUGUUUACUCAAACAACGCAUCAAAAGGAGGCCAGAGUUCAACCAAAGCUUCGCCUCCUCCCGUUGGCUCUGGCGGAUCGAGUGGCUCAGGUGAAUCGGGCUUCCCGACGCUGGGUCUUUCUAAUUCCACUUGGUCUUUCAAUCCGUCUUCGGCGUCGUCGAGUUCCGUCCCCUCUUCAUCGACCCCUUACAGCUCUGCCAAGAUUGCACCGAAAUCUUCUUGGUCCGACGCCCCACCACCGGCUGCGGAUCCGUGGAGCGCACCAAACAAGCCUCGUGGCCCUCCUCCGGGCAUUAGUGCAUCAGCAGGCAUUGGUCCAAAGUCUGCCGGACGCGAUUGGAGUGCAGCUGGCAGCCGCUCACCCUGGCCUGGAACGAAUGCCACUGUAGCUGGAGGUACGUGGGCCGGUUCUUUGAAUGGCGCAUCGUCGUGGCUCGUGUUGCGUAACUUGACUCCGCAAAUCGAUGGUUCGACGCUCAAAACAUUGUGCGUCCAGCACGGUCCGCUUCACAACUUCCAUCUCUACCUCAACCACGGAGUAGCUUUGAUCCGCUAUUCCACUGGCGAAGAAGCCGCUAAGGCGCAAAGUGCUCUGAACAACUGCGUGCUUGGAAACACGACCAUUUAUGCAGAUCUAGCCAACGAAUCUGAUGUCCAGGGUUGGCUGCAGCAACUUGGCAUGCCCGCCCAACAACAGCAGCAGCAGCAACAACAACAAAAUCAACAGCAGCAACAGCAGCAGCAAGUUGCCGCCUCCAGUGGAUGGGGCAUCCGGGGAUCUACUCCCGGCUCUAAUAACGGAAGCGGUAACGGGGGUGGUGUAGGAAGCAACGCCUCCAAGGGAAGUGCCAACUCUGGGGACAAUUGGGGAACUGGUGGUGGAGGCCCGAGUUCGAGCCCAUGGUCGACGGGUGCCAAUUCCGUCUGGUCUACACCGGCAUUGGAUCGUGAUUUGAGAACCACGCCGUCUGCGCUGAACGCAUCGCUCAACUCGUUCCUGCCCGGCGAUCUCCUGGGCAACGAGUCCAUGUAAAACAGCGAGGGCUACCACUCAACACGACUCAAAAAAGAAAGAAAAAAAGAAUCGACAGAAAUUACGUGUCAAUAUGAGAAUAGAUGAGAGAGGAGAAAAAUACCAAGAUUUGAAGCCGAUCAGCAGAAUUAACUUCGUAUCCUUUGGGCAGCUUUUCUUUUUCCCCUCCACUCUCCCCAUCUCCGCCUUCCUCUUUAUUUUGGUUUGGACUUGAAGAAAAAAAUGAGAUUUUUUUUCCUAAUAAUAAUUAUUAUUUUUCCCCCACGUCCUCUUUCCUUUUUGCUUGUGUUGUAAUAGCCAUUUUCCUUUUUUUUUUUUUUUUUGUCUAUUCAUAAGAAUAAAUGACAUUGAUGAGACCUUUGAUUGAGGUGCCCCAGUGCCUUUUUAUGUUGAUUGAUGGCCUCGAAGAAAACAAAAGAGAAAUUGCGUCGGUGGCGGAAGGGCCAGACCUUUUCAUUUUUUUUUUUAAUUUUUAUUCGAUCGCUUGCCAACGACACUUGCGUGUGUUCCGCAUGUUGUUCGACGCGCACACAAAACUUUUCUGCAUAAGCUUCGUAGAAAAAGACGAAACGCGGCCAACAGGACGAACUGGCUUUCCCAGAAAAAGAGAAAAACGAACAUACCAAACUAAAAUGAGUCAAAACAUCUUUACUCCCGACCUUCUCAACCCACAUCACGAGCCGAGCCAGUCGGAAGAAAAAAAAAGAAAAUUUAAUUGGUCGGCUCUCCACAACGUUGGAUCUCGAUGCAAAUAGAAUGAUUUUGAUGCAGGCAAUGACUCGUCACUUUAUCCAUUUGAUUCGAAAAGAAAAAAGAAAAAGUCUGAUUUAAUGUUAAAAAAGAAUUCCAGUUAUUAUUUUGAUACGGAAAACGAAACAACAAAUACUGCCAUGCAAAAACAUCAUUUUCAAACACAAUUUAUAAUUAUAAUUUAAUUUUUUUUUUCUGGAGGCAGCUUCGUUUGUCCUACAUAGUCCCCGCAUUAUCACUCUACCUGUCUGAUCAUCAGCUGAUUUUUUUUUUUUUUUUUCAAAUUUCUUUUGGGAUUUGCGUUCGUACCUCCGAUAAUGAGGUUGUGAUUUGAAAAUGUAAACAAUUCAAAGGUGAACUUUACAGAUAGGCAAUCGUUUUUGUUUAGAUAGGGAGGGAGUUAUGAGGCGUGAUUGGCCAAGAAAGAAAGAAGAUACAAAACGGUUUUAAUUCUCGCGAUCUGGCCGUCGCUCACCGUCAAUGAUCAGCCCUUCCUGCAUGCCAAAAAUUUUUGUGACUGAUGAAAUUUAUUGAAUCCGCCUCCCUCCUCGAUUUUUUUUUUCUUCAAAUCCGCAAGAGAUCUGGCCUAUUAUUUUAAUUUUUUCCUUUCGUUUGGUCAUGUUGAAUGUUUAUACAAAACAGGAAAGAAAUUAGCGAUGGUAGAAAAAUGCCUAGUCACGAUGACUAAAAACAUUGGCCAAAAUAAUCAUUAUUAAAUCAAUAGGAAAAAAACAAACAAACAAAACAAACAUUUCGGAAAUUCAGUGGGAAAUUUGUUCGCUCCCGUUUCCUCUGCCGGAAACCACUCAAUUUUUGACAUAUCCUCCUAAAACCAAAUUAUCGUCCACACGAGCCAAUCAUUCAGACAAAUUGAGAAACAAACUUGAGAAGGGUGGACACGAUCGGUCGCUGAAGAAUCAAAGGAGCGGACUAUUAAAAUACUUUCCAUAGACCAGGCUACAAAUGUUCUGAAGUGAUUUUGCAUUGGUGAUGAUCAAUCCACAUCAGAUCUAUGCGUUCCUUCCGGCUUCCUGUCGUUUGUAUCAGAAAUCGAAGAAAGAAAAUACCAAAGGUUGUUUGUUUUUUUUGUAAAACUUGAAAACGUUUUGUCGAACUGGGAUCGAGAAAAGAGAUGAUCUUCUUUUCGAGCCUUUUCUGCCUUUCUCGUAGAGAACGACUUUUUUUAUUUGAUUCACCUUUCUUUCGUUUUCAUGGAUGGAUUUUCAUGAAAAAUCCCGAAACAUUUGAAAAGGAAACAAAACACUUUGAAAUCCGUGGAAUCUUAUUUCUCUUUCUGCUCUCGAUCGCACACGAGUACCACAUUCUCUGUUGCCCUCUUCCGAAUCGGAUUACCGGUAGUGAUUUCAUUUUAAAAGGAAAAAUAAGAAGAAAGGAUUUAAUAAAUUUUUGUUUUGCUUUUAAAAGAAUAGCAACACACACGAAGAUAAAAAGAAAAUAUUCCCGAUCGAUCGGACAUCCCGUACUUGAUGCUAUACGCCACUCUGUCACGUGUCUUUGUCUGUCUUGUCCAUGUACUGGUACUCUGUAGCCUCUACUUUUUUUUUUCUCUCUAAGAAUAAGAAUAGCUCUUUUUUUUUUUUAAUAUUAUCUGCUCAGAAAAAGAGAAAAGGGAAACGUUGUGCGUUUCAAUCAGGUACGCUCUGGCAAAAGAAGGAAAAUGUUCCAAAUACUUGUUUCCCCAAAACACACUUUGGGGUUGCUCUUUCUUAGUAUUUUUAAAUGUCAUAGAUAGCCUCGUGCGUCAUCAAACAGUUGUGGAAUGUUGUCAGAGGAAAAGGCAUUUCCUUUAGUUCUAUUUUCGUUAAUUUUUCGCACGCACGCUGCUAAGCCAAUAAGAUUUUUGUCAACCACCCAAAAUUUUGUUGAUGAAUUUCCAUAUGUCAAAGUGCUCCCCCCCCCCUCUACACGAUCCUUGGUGAUUCAUUGAACAGGUUUGUUUAUUUGUUCUUUAUUUUUCAAAUAUUCUUUUAGUUAUGUUAUAAGUUGACAGGUGUCUGUCGCCAUUGAUACGGCAUUCGAUUCUUUGGAAAGAAAAAAAGAAAUUAGUUCUUCUAGGAGAUGAUGAUGUAUCGUUAGAACGAUUCCUCCACCACAUCUCCCACCUCCUCCCCUCCCAAACUGGAAUCGGAACAAUCCCGCCCACGAAGCCACGAUUUCAUUUGACGAUUCUAAAAACUAUUCGUGUCGUUCUUUUGUGCCGCUUUAUAUAACUCUCAUUUAUCCGAUGAUUCAAAGAGGACAAUAUUUGCUGCAAUUCUAAUCGCCUGUAUUUUCGUGUUGUCAGUUUGUACUUUUUUUUUCCGUUUGAAAUUUUCAAUGAAUUCAUGAGUCUAUAAUAUCGACAUGCCGCGGGUGUAGGGUCAUAAAAAGCUUCAGACAUUUUUCUAGACUCAUGUCGUCCCGAGUGUUCAAUAUCGUGUGUUUUCCGCGCCUAUCCCCUUUUCGUUUCUAAGUUUCGAUUAUUAUCGCCCCCCUUAUCCUCUCUCACCUUUUUUUUCUUUUUUAAUUAUUCUUUUUUUAGGGGGGGGGGGGCGUUGAACGUUGCGGUUCAUGCAACAACAACAAACUGGUUUACUAGACUGGAAAAUUGUGUUUGUGUUAGUCCUCGACCCUCGCUCAGUUUUUGUUCAGUGGGCAAGUGUCUUAAAAGGAAAAAGGGUGAGAAAAGCAUAAUAACCUAGUGUUCCGUCAGUCUGGUCGUCUUCGCAGUUUAUGUUCCCCCGACGUUAUUAUUAAUAUUAUUAUUUGGAUUGAUAACACCUAUCUUUUUGAAACUAUUAUCAUUAUUUACACUUGCUUUGCGUGGCCAUUUGUUUGGGGAAGGAACAAGCGAAAACAAACAAAACAACAGCAUUUUGAUGCGAGUCGUGAUGUGUUGUGCUCCAUUUGAGAGGAAAAAAAACUGAAGAUAUGAAGCCAGACAUCUUGACUUAAAUGCUGUAAGGUCAAAAGACAAGUUGACUAUAUUAUAUCAUAUAGAAAAUCAAUGGCCAUUUGUGCGUGUCUCUUUCGUAUCGUUAAAAAAUUGAAAAAGAAGAAAACACAGAGCCCUCUCUUGUCUCUCAAUUCCUUUCAAGGAACUCGAUAAUUUUUUUUUUUUUCAUGGCUACUAAAUUGCUGAACGAUAUAUAAUUGAAAUGUUUACAUAUUCGUGUGUAUUACGCCCGCCUCCCCCCUCCCCCCUUUAAACCACCCUCAAGCCCAUGUCCCACUCGUGAUGAUGUCGAUGUUUAUUGCUCUCCAAUUUGUUUUCUUCACUUCUCUUUGUUUCUCCCUUCAACAAGAGAUGCAAUCGAAAAAAAAAGGCUACCGGAGUCGGUUUCAGGUUUUAAUCAAAUAGUGUUGAUGUUAUUGUCAAAAAAAAAAGUAAAGUAAAAAAUGUCGAUAGGUUUUCCUUCCCUCUUUUCCAAAAAAAAAAACAAAAAAACAAAACAAAAAUCAACAAAAAAACAAAAGGCAUGCACUGUGUCUGUUAGAAACUACACGAGCGUGCCCCACUCCGGUAAAAGGAAAAGACAAACUAAUUAUUACUUUACCGUGUUGUCGAUGUGAUUUGCAUGGUAAUCCAAAAUUGAAAAAAAAAAAAAGAGGACGUGAGUAUGUAAAAAAAAAAAAAAAAGAAACAAAACAAGAUAGUUCAACCUGAAUCCUGGUCGCCUUACACGCCACACACUCCUUGUUUUCUAAACUAUAUAUCUUUUAUCAGUGGUCAAAAGUUUUGUCAUUGAAUAGAAAGCGUCCAGUUUGAUACAUAGGCUGCAAAAAAAAAAAAAAAAUGGAUUAAAACACAAAAAAAGAAUUGCGGAAAAAUGGAGGGAAGAAAACGAAGGCAAGAAUAAAGGAAAAAAAAAUUACCCCCCAAAAAAAAUUUCAAUAAAAUAAUAUGUCGAUCCCAUGUUUCUGUUUCUCUCUGCAAUGAUGCGUGUUUUGAUUUUAGAAUAUACUAGACAUGUGGUUAGUGGAA
Molecule: unclassified non-coding RNA, 9827 nt
Filed under: Daphnia magna
Lineage: Eukaryota; Metazoa; Arthropoda; Branchiopoda; Diplostraca; Daphniidae
Description: protein Gawky, transcript variant X1
Source: RNAcentral